GUCGAGAAUCAUUCACAAUGGGGGAAACCCUGAUGGUGUGACGCCGCGUGGAGGAUGAAGGUCUUCGGAUUGUAAACUCCUGUCAUGUGGGAGUAAAGCCGGGUGUUAAAUGCAUGCCGGUCUGAGAGUACCACAAGAGGAAGGGACGGCUAACUCUGUGCCAGCAGCCGCGGUAAUACAGAGGUCCCAAGCGUUGUUCGGAAUCACUGGGCGUAAAGGGUGCGUAGGCGGCGCGGAAAGUAAGGGGUGAAAUCCCGGAGCUCAACUCCGGAACUGCCUUUGAUACUCCCGCGCUUGAGAACUGGAGGGGAGACCGGAAUUCACGGUGGAGCAGUGAAAUGCGUGGAUAUCGUGAGGAACACUAGUGGCGAAGGCGGGUCUCUGGACAGUAUCUGACGCUGAGGCACGAAGGCCAGGGGAGCGAACGGGAUUAGAAACCCCGGUAGUCC
This 449-nucleotide ribosomal RNA is filed under the name uncultured bacterium. RNAcentral's name for it is "partial 16S ribosomal RNA". It matches the Rfam family "Bacterial small subunit ribosomal RNA", at positions 354 to 796 of the family's 1533-position model. The record is from RNAcentral.